AUUGAACGCUGGCGGCAGGCUUAACACAUGCAAGUCGAACGAGUGGCGGACGGGUGAGUAAUGCUUGGGAAUCUAGCUGAUGGAGGGGGAUAACUACGGGAAACUGUAGCUAAUACCGCGUACCAUAGGAUGAGCCAAAGUGGGAUUAGGUAGUUGGUGGGGUAAAGGCUCACCAAGCCGACAUGCUCUAACUGGUCUGAGAGGAUGACCGGCCACACUGUGACGGGUACCCGGCCCCGACGCCUACGGUAGGCAGCAGUGGGGAAUAUUGCGCAAUGGGGGAAACCUGAUCCAGCCAUCCCGCGUGUGCGAUGAAGGCCUUCGGGUUGUAAAGUUCUUUCGGUAGCGAGGCGUUAACUACAGAAGAAGCACCGGCUAACUCCGUGCCAGCAGCCGCGGUAAUAC
This 405-nucleotide ribosomal RNA is filed under the name uncultured bacterium. Its description in RNAcentral is "partial 16S ribosomal RNA". It matches the Rfam family "Bacterial small subunit ribosomal RNA", at positions 30 to 526 of the family's 1533-position model. The record is from RNAcentral.